AAGUCGUAACAAGGUUUCCGUAGGUGAACCUGCGGAAGGAUCAUUAACACGUAUCCAAACGUUAACCCCCUGUGAACCUUCAAUGUGCUCGUACACUUUGUCAAAGCGAGGCAAUCCCUGGUAAAUCAUCGCCGAACAGUUUUGAUUCUGGGACUUCCUCAAAGAGUGUGCAUGUUGCGCGAGGCAAGUGGCCUGGCAUUCCCAAGCAGUUAAUGUCUGAAAGUGUCAUUUGCUGUGUAAGGAUGACGCAGUAACGAUCGUUGGAGGAUCACCACUUGAUGCAUGACAGACGCGCCAGCGCUUAAUUGUGCGGCGACCAAAAACCGAACAACUGUUAACAAUGGAUAUCUUGGUUCUC
This 358-nucleotide unclassified non-coding RNA is filed under the name fungal sp. Its description in RNAcentral is "partial internal transcribed spacer region". The stretch from base 1 to 46 matches the Rfam family "Eukaryotic small subunit ribosomal RNA", at positions 1786 to 1831 of the family's 1831-position model. Lineage: Eukaryota; Fungi. The record is from RNAcentral.